This 301-nucleotide ribosomal RNA is filed under the name uncultured bacterium. RNAcentral's name for it is "partial 16S ribosomal RNA". It matches the Rfam family "Bacterial small subunit ribosomal RNA", at positions 509 to 807 of the family's 1533-position model. The record is from RNAcentral.
CAGUCGCCACGGUAAUACAGAGGGUGCGAGCGUUAAUCGGAUUUACUGGGCGUAAAGCGUGUGUAGGCGGCUUUUUAAGUCGGAUGUGAAAUCCCUGAGCUUAACUUAGGAAUUGCAUUCGAUACUGGGAAGCUAGAGUAUGGGAGAGGAUGGUAGAAUUCCAGGUGUAGCGGUGAAAUGCGUAGAGAUCUGGAGGAAUACCGAUGGCGAAGGCAGCCAUCUGGCCUAAUACUGACGCUGAGGUACGAAAGCAUGGGGAGCAAACAGGAUUAGAUACCCCGGUAGUCCCUGUCUCUUAUAC